Astatotilapia calliptera (eastern happy) is the source of this 1044-nucleotide long non-coding RNA. The record is from Ensembl. NCBI's taxonomy places the organism in Eukaryota, Metazoa, Chordata, Actinopteri, Cichliformes, Cichlidae.
UCAGCUUCAGUCCCACAAAGGCAGAAAAAACCCCGCAGUGUUUGAACACUGCAGUUUUUUCUAAUGCACUUUUUUUCUUUUUUCUUUUUAGACACAUUUGUUUCCCCACAGUGGGUGUUUUUGACAAGAGCCUUCAGACAUUUCAUUUGCUUUUUUGUUUUUUUGGACUGGACAUUGCAAAAAGUGGUUAAAAAAAAAAAAAAAAAGAAAAAAAAGAAAGAAAAAACAGACGAUUAAAUGGGAGGUUGUUAAUAAGGCAAUAAAUCAAUAAAAUUAAUCAAGCUUAAAAGAAAAAAAAAACAGACAUAAAUUGUGUCCUAGCUGAAAAUGAUAGAAAUCACUGUCACAUUUCUUCAGCACAGAGUUUAAAGGAGGAUGACGAAGCGAGGUUUUUGUCUGUGUAAUUUUUUAUUUUAUUUCAAAGUGCUCGACAUAAAGCAGAGAGACGCUUUUUAAGCGCCUAAAUACAAAAAAAAAAUCAUAAUGAGCCAAAACAAAGAGGAUGGAAACUCUCCCAGUGCAGAGUGGGAAAGGUUACAUUCUUCGUCACCACUUUAAACUCUGAAUAAACUGGAGCAGAUAAUAAGUGUGAGAAAGACAGAAGACAGUAAAGAGAAAAGGGAGAGAGCCGAGGACCAGGAUUUGCCCACGUGGUGUUUCGUGCCCCUGGACUUUUGCGCCAAAGUCUCAAAUGUUCCGGUUAUAAAUUAGCAAAAAGAAAAAAAAAUCAAGAGUACAAAGUGAGAACCAAAAGAUGAUUAGACAGAACAAUCAAUAAAUCAACCAGUCGAUAAAUAAAUAAAUAAAUAAAUAAUAAAACGCUGUUGUGUUUAGGCCAAAUAGUCCCAGCAGUUCACCUGUGGUGAGCUGAGGCGCAUUAAUAUUUCAGGUUAAAGGUUUGUUUAAACAAUUGGGCGCAUAUCAAUGAGGCCCGCUAAUUUGUAGGCCAUCCAGCAGUAAGAGCUCGCCUAAAAUUACCGCUGAAAUGUCUAAUUAAAAACCCCCCUCGCUGCUGAGCCAGCCACGUCAGCUCACGUUUCCCCC